AACGCGUGGAUAAUCUACCUAUUGGUACGGGACAACAGUUGGAAACGACUGCUAAUACCGUAUAAGCUGGAAACGGGAAAGGGGGCCUCUUCUUGAAAGCUCUCGCCAGUAGAUGAGUCCGCGUUUCAUUAGCUAGACGGUGGGGUAACGGCCUACCGUGGCAACGAUGAAUAGCAGGCCUGAGAGGGUGGCCUGCCACACUGGGACUGGAACACGGCCCAGACUCCUACGGGAGGCAGCAGUGGGGAAUAUUGCGCAAUGGACGAAAGUCUGACGCAGCGACGCCGCGUGGAGGAUGAAGGUUUUCGGAUCGUAAACUCCUGUCAAGAGGGAAGAAACCUAUUAAGAAUAAUACUCUUAGUAAUUGACGGUACCUCUAGAGGAAGCACCGGCUAAUUCAGUGCCAGCAGCCGCGGUAAUACUGAAGGUGCAAGCGUUAAUCGGAAUCACUGGGCGUAAAGCGCUCGUAGGUGGCUUUGUAAGUCAGAUGUGAAAGCCCACGGCUCAACCGUGGAAUUGCAUUUGAUACUGCAUCGCUAGAGUAUAGGA
This 549-nucleotide ribosomal RNA is filed under the name Desulfovibrio sp. 16T3-2 S1-4d. Its description in RNAcentral is "bacterial SSU rRNA". It matches the Rfam family "Bacterial small subunit ribosomal RNA", at positions 112 to 653 of the family's 1533-position model. Lineage: Bacteria; Pseudomonadati; Thermodesulfobacteriota; Desulfovibrionia; Desulfovibrionales; Desulfovibrionaceae. The record is from RNAcentral.